GGCUUGUCUGCGGAUGGGCUGAGAUCAUUAAGUGAAAAAUGCCAUCUGAAUAAAAGUUAAUAUCAACUUUUGCCAUUCACAUUUACUUUAAACAGCCUUUACAAACAGGAACUAAUGCUGAUUAAUACUCAUGUAUUAAGGCAUUUGAAAAAUAUCAUAAUGGCUGAAAAUAUGGUAGAAAAGAGGUCUUCUAUUUGAAUUUUAACUUCCCAGUGCUUUCUGAAUGGGUGAGAGCUUCAGCUGCAAUCCAUGUAUUAUCACCACUAUGUUACUACUAUACAAUAUCUGAAUCAUGCACACAGUAUGAAGAUGUGAUGAUUAAGGCGAACUAAGUAUCUGAAUCAAAAUUUUUGCAAGUGGAUGCUAUUUGCAUACAUUAUUGGGAAAAUAUUCUAAGAGGUAAAGGACAUUAAUAAGAAUGAUUCUUGCUUUUAGUCCAUCUGUUGAUAUUUUGGCAUGUGUAGACUACUCAAAAGGAAGAAAGUCUUCAUAGGGAAGAUAUUUUUAAUAUUAAUUUGUAGGCCAAAGACAGAGGUAAGAUAAAAUUUGUUGUAACCCAGUAUGUCAGGCAAUUUUAAUAAUAUCAUGCUCUUAAUACAAAUGAUAUUGUUUUAAUCUCUCUUGACAUGUCACUUUUUUAAGAAGAAGAGGUAGUACUUCUGUUUAUUUCCUGUUUCCACAUUAUGAAGUGUCCUUUGUGUAUUUGACAGAACAAGUAUCAUUCUCUCCCUUAGUUUCGCAACUGUGAAAAUCUGGUGUUACAGAAACUGUAAAGCUAUGGGAAUUGUCUAGAAAGUGAAAGGAGCCUUGCAAAUCACUGGAGAGAUCCUCAUCUUGGAAAAUAUAGUCAGAACUGCAGCAGCACUUCAAGAACACUGGCUGCGUUCACAAUAUUGAAUGAAAUUGGACUAUGUUUAUAAAUGGAAGUGCACGAGAAAUACAGUCUAAACCUGGCAACGCUCUACCUGCUGAGUACAACCCUCCAGGUAUACAGAAGAUAGAAGGGUAAGUCCUCAGCAGGUCUUUUUUAUUGCUUGUUUUUGUAGCAGCAAAACCCAAAACUUUUGUGCAUCCACGUAUUCUGUAAGUCCAAACUGAAAUUAAUCAAACUGGUUUUGGAAGAUAAGUAAAUCUGUGGUUUCCUGACCAGCUGGAUUUCAUCAGAUUUGGAGAGAAGUAGUAGUAUGUAUCCAGCAUUCUUUUUGCUAUGGCUUCUGGGACUGUAGUAAAAUAGAAUUUGAGUG
This 1244-nucleotide long non-coding RNA is filed under the name Coturnix japonica (Japanese quail). Its description in RNAcentral is "lncRNA (ENSCJPG00005012432.1)". The record is from RNAcentral. Lineage: Eukaryota; Metazoa; Chordata; Aves; Galliformes; Phasianidae.